This 73-nucleotide transfer RNA is filed under the name Stegodyphus mimosarum. It matches the Rfam family "tRNA". From Rfam's summary of the family: Transfer RNA (tRNA) molecules are approximately 80 nucleotides in length. The record is from Rfam by way of RNAcentral. Lineage: Eukaryota; Metazoa; Arthropoda; Arachnida; Araneae; Eresidae.
GUCUUCGUGGUGUAGUGGUCAGCACGCUCGACGCGUAACCGAGAGGUCCGUGGUUCAAUUCCCAGCGAAGGCU